GACGAACCGUACGAACGUUAUUCGGAAUCACUGGGCUUAAAGGGUGCGUAGGCGGCGCGACAAGUUGGGUGUGAAAUCCCUCGGCUCAACCGAGGAACUGCGCCCAAAACUGUCGUGCUCGAGGGAGACAGAGGUGAGCGGAACUUAGGGUGGAGCGGUGAAAUGCGUUGAUAUCCUAAGGAACACCGGUGGCGAAAGCGGCUCACUGGGUCUCUUCUGACGCUGAGGCACGAAAGCCAGGGGAGCGAACGGG
RNAcentral lists this ribosomal RNA (253 nucleotides) under uncultured bacterium. RNAcentral describes it as "partial 16S ribosomal RNA". It matches the Rfam family "Bacterial small subunit ribosomal RNA", at positions 524 to 776 of the family's 1533-position model. The record is from RNAcentral.